CCUACGGGUGGCUGCAGUGGGGAAUAUUGGGCAAUGGGCGCAAGCCUGACCCAGCAACGCCGCGUGAAGGAAGAAGGCCCUCGGGUUGUAAACUUCUUUUAUCAGGGACGAAGCAAGUGACGGUACCUGAUGAAUAAGCCACGGCUAACUACGUGCCAGCAGCCGCGGUAAUACGUAGGUGGCAAGCGUUAUCCGGAUUUACUGGGUGUAAAGGGCGUGUAGGCGGGAUAGCAAGUCAGAUGUGAAAACCAUGGGCUCAACCUGUGGCGUGCAUUUGAAACUGUUUUUCUUGAGUGCUGGAGAGGCAGACGGAAUUCCUAGUGUAGCGGUGAAAUGCGUAGAUAUUAGGAGGAACACCAGUGGCGAAGGCGGCUUACUGGACUGUAACUGACGUUGAGGCUCGAAAGCGUGGGGAGCAAACAGGAUUAGAUACCCGGGUAGUC
RNAcentral lists this ribosomal RNA (443 nucleotides) under uncultured bacterium. Its description in RNAcentral is "partial 16S ribosomal RNA". It matches the Rfam family "Bacterial small subunit ribosomal RNA", at positions 338 to 795 of the family's 1533-position model. The record is from RNAcentral.